UACGUAGGGUGCAAGCGUUAAUCGGAAUUACUGGGCGUAAAGCGUGCGCAGGCGGUUGUGUAAGACAGGCGUGAAAUCCCCGGGCUCAACCUGGGAAUUGCGCUUGUGACUGCACAGCUCGAGUGUGGGAGAGGGGGAUGGAAUUCCGCGUGUAGCAGUGAAAUGCGUAGAUAUGCGGAGGAACACCAAUGGCGAAGGCAACCCCCUGGACCUGCACUGACGCUCAUGCACGAAAGCGUGGGGAGCAAACAGG
Molecule: ribosomal RNA, 253 nt
Filed under: uncultured bacterium
Lineage: Bacteria
Description: partial 16S ribosomal RNA
Rfam family: Bacterial small subunit ribosomal RNA
Source: RNAcentral